GAUGAACGCUGGCGGCGUGCCUAAUACAUGCAAGUCGAGCGAACGGACGAGAAGCUUGCUUCUCUGAUGUUAGCGGCGGACGGGUGAGUAACACGUGGAUAACCUACCUAUAAGACUGGGAUAACUUCGGGAAACCGCAGCUAAUACCGGAUAAUAUUUUGAACCGCAUGGUUCAAAAGUGAAAGACGGUCUUGCUGUCACUUAUAGAUGGAUCCGCGCUGCAUUAGCUAGUUGGUAAGGUAACGGCUUACCAAGGCAACGGUGCAUAGCCGACCUGAGAGGGUGAUCGGCCACACUGGAACUGAGACACGGUCCAGACUCCUACGGGAGGCAGCAGUAGGGAAUCUUCCGCAAUGGGCGAAAGCCUGACGGAGCAACGCCGCGUGAGUGAUGAAGGUCUUCGGAUCGUAAAACUCUGUUAUUAGGGAAGAACAUAUGUGUAAGUAACUGUGCACAUCUUGACGGUACCUAAUCAGAAAGCCACGGCUAACUACGUG
This 497-nucleotide ribosomal RNA is filed under the name uncultured bacterium. RNAcentral's name for it is "partial 16S ribosomal RNA". It matches the Rfam family "Bacterial small subunit ribosomal RNA", at positions 28 to 507 of the family's 1533-position model. The record is from RNAcentral.